AGAGGAAAGGAGGUACAGUUAGGCCGCUGUUUCCUACUGUGCAAUCCCCCAUGCUUCCUGGGCUUAGAACACCCACUGCCCUGGCCCCAGGAUUGGCGGGGGAGGCUUUGAAUAUAAUGCUACGUUCAUAGUAUGUCUGCAUUUUCCGUCACAUCCUUCUUCACAUUUAGCUUAGGUCAGUGGUGGCGAACCUGUGGCACAAAGGCACAUCAGAUAACAGCUGUCUUUUCUAAACUAAAACCUCCGUAUUCAAGUUUAACCAUAGUGCUGGCACUUUGCGAUAAAUAAGUGGUUUUGGGAUUGCAGUUCGGACGCUCAGUCUCUAAAAGGUUUGCCAUCACUGUCCUAGGUGAUCCUGAGCCACAAGCGGGAGGGAAUAGUUCUCCACAGAGAGGGCCUCCCGCUUCCCAUCUGCUCCCACCCAGGCUGAGUGAAGUGUAGUAUCCUGUCUGCACCUCAAGAGCAACUGCCUCAGUUCUCCUAGAAUGAACACACUUGCCCUUUUAAGAGUGGGGCCGGCAAGCAGUGCAGGAGAAGCUGCCUGCUGGAACUCAGGCAAGGAAGGAGCAGGCCUGAAGGGUGUCUCUGUAUGCGUGGGGGGCUUGAGGAUGAACUGCUGCAAGUCUUUGUGUCGCAGUAUUAGAAUGUCACAUUACUUGACUUUCUGGGAUCACCCUCUGUCCUCCUUCCCGGCUUCCCUCCCUCCAGUCUCACCUUUCUACCAACCUCAGAAGCCUCGCUGAAUUCAACUCUGCCCAUCCCCAAUUUAAAAGUCCUCCUCACCUCUUUCCUGCCCGUGGUUCAAAAUCAUUGUGAAACUUAACGUGUCUGCCUCUACCUGGCCCUAUGUUCAUUCAUAUAAAUUGUGACACCAAUCGCACUGAACUGCACCCGAGUUCCUUCAAGCGGGCUUGGCACUCUGGUAUCUAUGCAAACCGGUCCCCUCACCUACGAGGCUCUUUUUCAUGAGACUGGCUAAUUCUCUUAUCUUCUGUGGCUCAGUUCAGAGGGUCCUUCCUUCCUACAUGACCUGGGGCAGGGGACCCUUCUCUGGAGCACCGCAGCCCUUUGCAUGAGUUGAAAUACAGGAAUGGCAUAAAAGAUGUUCCAGAUAUUUGCAGUACCAAGCAGGCCUGUGUGUAGCUGUGAUCCUGACGGGACCUCCUUGGGCACAACGAUGUGCCUGCCAGAAGACCUGGAAAAUGUGUGUCCCUAUGUGACAGCCUGUCUUCAAGGGAAACUCUCUUGGCUCCAGUUCUAGGCUCCGGACAAUCAGAACCAGACUCGGAUCACUUCCUUCUCCAUGUGCAGCUGCUCAGCAAUCAGCAGGAUCUCCUCUGAGACUGCCUUCCCUUGCCCAAGGAGCCUCUCCACACUCGCUGUGGAUCUGACCAAGGUGUGACUGCUGCCUCGCAGGGAGCAAUGAAUGCCUGGGACUCGCUGCACUGUCCCUCCGAGCUUGCAAACGCUCAGGAGGAGCAGCUGGCUCCUUUGCUAAGCGCUCUUUCUCUGGAUCUCUCUCUGGGGAGAGAUCUCAUGUUCUUCUUCGCCUGCCACAAAAUAAAGACUGGCUCUGCCACUGCACUGCCGCGUAGUUUGGGGUAAGCUCCUUAACCGCCCUGGGCGCUGCUUUUCCCUCUGUAGGACAGACACCACUGCUGUUCUGCCUGAUGGGUUGGUGUAGGGUCACAGAUUGUAGAACAUGUAGCACUCCGAUCAAGAGUGUUGAUAAUGGGGAAGGCAAUGUAUGGGGGGGUGGAAGGUGUAUGUGAUCUUGAUCUUUCAUGUAGUUUUGCUGUGAGCUAAAAUCGCUCUAAAAGAUAGGUCUUAAAAAAUUAGUACACAGCAUGUGAAGUACAAGUAUUUAAAAACGGUCAGAGAGGACAAUUAGGGCCACCGACAAAGAAACAAAGCUCUGCCUGUAAGGCUUCAUUGCCCUGAAAAUAAAAAAGGUCUGAGGCAGGUGGUGGGUGCAGUGAGGUCUGUCGUGCAGAUCCCUGACGAUCCAAACCCCUGCAGCCCCAGAGCUUUUGUGGAGAUCAGAAGUUUUUCAGAUUUUAGGAAGCCUGUCUAGGGCACAAAUUAUAAACAGUGUGAUGCCCCAGUCAGGAUCAGGGGUCACCGCAUAAUCAGACACAUUAGUACUUCUGCAGUAGCAGAACCACACCAAGGGGGAUAAGGAAAGGUCAUACACCGCUUCAUGGCAGGCAGGGCAGCUUUUGGUGCCAGUGUUCCAAGAACACCUUGACUUUCGAAGCAUUUUGAAUUUCAGCACUGCAGCCAAGACCUGGAUUGGCCUCUGAACUUUUCAGUCUUUCUGAAACAGUUCAUAUAUAUUUUUUUGGUUCUGGUGCUGGGCAUUGAACUCAGGGGCCCAAGCAUGCUCCAGCACAUGCUCUACCACUAAGCUACUCUCCCACUCCUGCAACCCUGAUAUAUUUUUGAAAGGACUGGAAAAAAUGAAUAGGAAAAAUUUUAAGUGCGUCAAGGGUGUCAGAAGAUUCUUCUUAAAAUCUUAAACCCAGGCAGCAAACUGAAAGCUUUAGAGUCCACGCCGUAGAACACUGAAGUGCCGGGAGAGCUGGGCUCCCACCUAAGGGUGCAAGUGUGAUGGCCGUGGGUCCAGGCCGGCCAGAUAUUCCAGUUUGUGAAGAGAAGCUGAAAAUUGGCCCUUUCUGGGAAUUAAGUUGACAAAGGCCAAAUGGAGCUCAGAGAACUCUCAGUCUCAGGGUUAAAAGAGACCUCUGAGGUAUUCCUAACCUAGAGGCUUGCAACCUUCUGAAAUUUUGUGUUUGUGUAGAUGUACAUUUUGGGGGAAUGGGGAUCAGACCUAAAUCCUUCAUCAGAUUCUCAAAGGAGUCCAUGAGCCUGAAAGGAUUAAGACCCACUAGCCUGGUUCAGUUCAGUCACCUAGCCAGGAAAUGUGCCUUACUUGAGGUCCCACAGCAAAUCAGUGGCAGAGCAGGCUGGGCCCCAGCUUCCCCAGUUGCUAUCUUGGCCCCGUGGCUGUGGAGUGGGCCAGUGGAGAGGAGAUUCACCCCCUCACACCACUCGCACUCCCCCAGUCCUCAGCUGGCCCUGCUGCUAGCUUAGCCUGGAGAAUUCA
Chinchilla lanigera (long-tailed chinchilla) is the source of this 3106-nucleotide long non-coding RNA. RefSeq lists it as uncharacterized. NCBI's taxonomy places the organism in Eukaryota, Metazoa, Chordata, Mammalia, Rodentia, Chinchillidae. The transcript is spliced from 4 exons. The record is from RefSeq and is a predicted model, not a curated record.